CUCCAUCCCGAUCCCUAAAAUAGGGAUGAAGAUGCUACAGAGGUUCCCCAUAUUUGGGGAAUCACCGUACAUCCCCAAAUGUAAUUUUGGUUCCCUGGCCCUUCGUUGUCCCACAUCUUCUUCCUCACGAAGUUUGACAAAGCCAAGAUCAUGUACUAGUCGCUAGAGAAAUGCUCAUUCCAGUUCAAGAAUUGUUGACAUUUGUUGAAGGACCAACCUAAAUAGAUUUGAUCUUGCACAAAGGAGGAUCAAAAGUGAUGGAAGACGAUGUCCCCAACCCUGACUCAAUGUUUGGGCACUACGGUAGAUUCAGUUUUUAAUAUCGAGGCAUAGAAUGCUCUGGAUAAUGACGUCAUCAAAUUGGAGCAGCCAAUGGGAAGGAAAGUUGAGAAAGAAAAAUGAAAGGCCCAAGGUAUGCUAGAGGAGAUCGUUGUUCUCAUAAGCUGAAGUAUAUGCUUUCGAAGGAAUCACGUGCUCAAGAGAAAGAGUUUUUUCGCCUCAAGGCCGAGAAGAUGGAAUAUUACAAGGAAAAAUAGGAAAAUAAAAGGCAUCAAGAGGACGAAAGACUAAGGUUGGAGGCAGAUAAACUUGAGUUUGCCAAGAAGGAAGCGGAUCAGUGUAUUAUGAUGAUGGAUGUGAGUACCUUGCUAGUACUGCAAUGAAUAUAUUUCUAGGAUGUGCAGAGGGAAAUCGCGGUGAGAUGCAAUGCUACAACAGAUUUGGAUAGAUUAGGAUUUUUUGGAAAAUGUUUAUUUCUUUAUUUUUUGUUUUAUAAAAUUUUUAUGAACGAUUGUACUAUUUAUAAUUUUUAUGGAUGAAAAUAUUAUUGAUA
Carya illinoinensis is the source of this 832-nucleotide long non-coding RNA. RefSeq lists it as uncharacterized. The record is from RefSeq and is a predicted model, not a curated record. Lineage: Eukaryota; Viridiplantae; Streptophyta; Magnoliopsida; Fagales; Juglandaceae. The transcript is spliced from 2 exons.